Molecule: microRNA precursor, 94 nt
Filed under: Medicago truncatula (barrel medic)
Lineage: Eukaryota; Viridiplantae; Streptophyta; Magnoliopsida; Fabales; Fabaceae
Description: MIR2617 microRNA precursor family
Rfam family: MIR2617 microRNA precursor family
Source: Rfam by way of RNAcentral
AUGUAGUGUGACAUGCCUGUUGUGUUUUACUCUGAUGUUGGGGAAUUAAUUGUUAUUAUUUAAUUACUUUUGGGUAACAGGGUGUUACAACCUG